RNAcentral lists this ribosomal RNA (956 nucleotides) under uncultured Ascomycota. RNAcentral's name for it is "eukaryotic LSU rRNA". It matches the Rfam family "Eukaryotic large subunit ribosomal RNA", at positions 1 to 813 of the family's 3401-position model. The record is from RNAcentral. Lineage: Eukaryota; Fungi; Ascomycota.
AACUCGAUCUCAAAUCAAGUAAGACUACCCGCUGAACUUAAGCAUAUCAAUAAGCGGAGGAAAAGAAACUAACAAGGAUUCCCCUAGUAACGGCGAGUGAAGCGGGAUGAGCUCAAAUUUAAAAUCUGGCUGGUUUACUAGUCCGAAUUGUAGUUUAAAGAAGCGUUUUCGGUGGCAGCCUGGGUAUAAAUCCUUUGGAACAGGGUAUCAUAGAGGGUGAGAAUCCCGUCUUUGACUCAGUGCAUGCUACUAUGUGAUACGUUUUCAAAGAGUCGAGUUGUUUGGGAAUGCAGCUCAAAAUGGGUGGUAAAUUUCAUCUAAAGCUAAAUAUUGGCGAGAGACCGAUAGCGAACAAGUACCGUGAGGGAAAGAUGAAAAGAACUUUGAAAAGAGAGUUAAACAGUGCGUGAAAUUGUUGAAAGGGAAACGCUUGACACCAGUCAUGCGAGCGGAAAAUCAGUCUUUUGCAGUGGGGAGUUGUGUGGGUUCGGACCGCAAGGCCGGCCUGCGCUACAUCUCUGCUGUAAGUGAUGCACUUUUUCGUUUGCAGGCCAACAUCAGUUUCUUCUGCUGGACAAAACUCUUGAGAAGGUGGCAGCUUAGGCUGUGUUAUAGCUCUUGAGCGAUACAGUGGAGGGGACUGAGGUUUUCGCAGCGCGUGCUCUCGGGCAAGGCUGAUUGGGUGCUAUGGGAUCGUUCGGUGUACAAUGCAUGCAUUUUGCGCCGUGUCUUUUCUAUACUCGCUCAACUCGGCUCUUCCGCGCUUAGGAUGUUGGCUUAAUGGUUUUAAUCGACCCGUCUUGAAACACGGACCAAGGAGUCUAACAUAUAUGCAAGUGUUUGGGUGGCAAACCCAUGCGCGUAAUGAAAGUGAACGUAGGUGCGAUCCGCAAGGUGCAGCAUCGACCGAUCUUGAUAUUUUUGGGAUAGAUUUGAGUAAGAGCAUAUAUGCUGGG